This is a long non-coding RNA of Oreochromis niloticus (Nile tilapia), 2487 nucleotides long. RefSeq lists it as uncharacterized. Lineage: Eukaryota; Metazoa; Chordata; Actinopteri; Cichliformes; Cichlidae. The record is from RefSeq and is a predicted model, not a curated record. The transcript has 3 exons.
UUCAAGUCAGUGAAACCUCGGUAAGAGAAAGUGCUAAGGGAUCACAAGCUGUUUAUUUCCCAGGUCCAUUUUCAUACUUUACACUAAAUGACGAGGACUCGAAGGAGCUGGGGGACUAGCUAUUUAUGGUUACACCACCAGAAGCAAUACCAGUGUCAUCAAAUGGAGGGAAGUUUUGGUGAGCCCGAGCACGGGUGGCUACCAGCAAUAAGUAGGCAUAUAAAGCAGGCGUUUGCUUUGUAUUUUGUAAGGAUCAGAUGACAGUUAUGAGAAAGCAUGACAAUCCGUAGGGUGAUAAAAACCUUUCAUAUGCAGCUGCAGAAUAUUUGUCUGCUGAAGGUUUUGAGCGCAUCACGAAUACAGUCGUUUUAUUCCUUUUUCAGUAUUCGUGGCCCCUUUGGGAAUUUAGCCUGUGUUAGUUCUUGCCUCUGCUCAGGAAGAUCCACAGGGAAUACAGCUACUGGGCUUAGAAUAAUAGAGUGAACACGAUAUCAACCCUUUUUAUUGAAUAUCAGAUAUCAAGUUGGUUUCAUCUACCGCUCAUCUGAUGUAAGGUGAUCUCCAAAUACACAUGCAAAAACAGAUGAGAUAUCAAGUUAUUAAUUUAACUGUGAAAUAAAAAGGGCAGAUAAUUUCUUCUUCAGUUCAGUCGUGUAUUGUUUUACUUUAAAAAAAGAUGUAAUGGAAGGAGACAUCACAUUAGUACCAGCUUCUGACUAUUAUGCCAGGAUAUCUGAAGGUGGUUUGUGGUGUUAAGUUCCACCAGUUCGCUGGUACCCGCUGGGGUUGGGUUCACUCAGCAUGUGGCUAUUUUACCACAAGUCUCAAAUCUUGAUGCAACCAAUUCAAUUUCGUUCAUAUAUCACCAGUACUGUAAGGUAACGAGGGAAAACCCCAACUGUCACAUGAUCCAAUCAGAUGAACGAUCAGAAAUCUGAAUAGCAACCUGUUUUUUAGCUAAUGUCCACAUAAAUGCCAGGAUUCAAGGUUUCCCUUAUUCAGCCAGCUCACCUUCUUAGUAUUGUCCAUCUUGCUCCUCACCUCUUUUUGAGGUAAAUAAUGCAUAAAUCUGAGCAUGCCCACCUUCUGACUGUCUGCAUUUCAGGAUCUCUUACAUUAGCUCAGAUUUUGAGUUCAAGCCACUGCUUCACGCACACAACACUGAGGCUCUGCCCUGUUUCAGGUUCAAUGGAUGGCCUUCCUCGGAUCUCUUAUGGUAAUAACUGCACACCUGGAAAACAUUACAAGACCCACUGUUUUCUGAGAUGCUUUGACCCAGCUGGCUAGCCACCACAGGUCACACUUUGUCAGUCACUCAGGUCAGGCCAACAUAUCAAAUUCAACAAGCCAUUGUUCAUGUGGUGCCUAACAUCUCCCACCCUGUGAUAGGUGGCAAUUUGUGUUCUUUACGUCACCUUUCAGUGCUUCCAACGUUGUGGGCGAUUGAUCAGUCACAUCAGGAAAGAAAGCAGUUUUUGUACUCUGACUUCAAGACUUUUAUGAAAUAAAGUAGUCACAAUCCACCCUAACAAGCAGAGGUCUCAGAUUCAGCUGAUAACAAAGCCAUCGUAUCCAUGAAAGUAAAUCCAGACAAACGGUCUUUGCAGGUAAGAUAAAUUGCAGGCAUGCAUGUGUCUCUGUAGUAACGCCGAGCUGCACACGGCCUCACCAUUGAACAUCAGUCCAGGUGGAAUAGCUGUUACCGUAUCAUCAUCUCAUCAUUAACAUACACAACACGACCGCGGCUCUUCUCAUUGACUGUAAUCACCUUAAUGCAGAAAGCUGAUGAAGUUGCCAAGGCGCAGAGUGCUCCGUCUCAGACCUUUUCUCUUUUUUUGUGUGUGUGUGUUUUUGUAAUGGCGCUGUCAUAACUGCUCUGCUCCGUCUGGGCCUAAGUGAAUCUGAGGCGCCAUCUUUUAAACGAGGCUAACAAAUGAACACGUUUUCCCCCCAUCAAACGGCUCCUGACAGUGAUGCAUGGGCUUCCAGAUGAGCUCUGAAAAACUGAUGGAUCUGCGACGGUACAAGCGCUUAGAUAAACUAAUGCAUGUAAUUACGUUUUCCAUUCCCACUCCAUUGCAAGGCAUCUUAUUACAAUAUCAUUAGUUGAAAUGUUCAGCAAAAAAAUGAUAUGGUUUGCAAAUUUCUUUUUUUUCCUGACUUCCUAUCACUCUCUUUUAUCUUUUUUUUUUGCCAUGUGGGGUAAUUACGGGAAGUUGAUUUCUUUGACUGGAAUAAAAGCGAAUUCAAUUUGUUUGCUUCUUGGAAAGACAUCAUCGGGCAUCUCACUGUAAGUGUUAGUAAUUGUUGGAAGUCUUAUUCACCGCUGCUGCGGAUAAGACGACCAUCAAGAUGGUUAGAGAUGCCCUGUGUGUGGGGUGAGCGAGCGACAUGAGACACGUGUGGAUACGAGUUCGUGUACGUGUCAGGCUCAUUCUUUCCGGUUUUUUAAUUGGAGGCAGAAUUUAUCAUGUCCCUUCUCAUGCA